RNAcentral lists this ribosomal RNA (117 nucleotides) under Ochotona princeps (American pika). Lineage: Eukaryota; Metazoa; Chordata; Mammalia; Lagomorpha; Ochotonidae. The record is from RNAcentral.
GUCUAUGGCCAUACCACCCUGAAUGCGCCCGAUCUCGUCAGAUCUCGGAAGCUAAGCAGGGUCGGGCCUGGUUAGUACUUGGAUGGGAGCAAGAGAAAGGUUAACCAACUAUAAACC